GAGUUGUCGCGGCUGCAAGGCUGAGGAAAGUCCGGGCAACGUAGAGCACCAUACUUCCUAACGGGAAGGCGCGCGUAAGCGUGACAGACAGUGCCACAGAAAGGAUACCGCCCGCUUCGGCGGGUAAGGGUGAAAACGUGAGGUAAGAGCUCACGCCGCCGUCAGUGAUGCCGGCGGGGGUAAACCUUAUGGGUUGAAAGACCAAAUAAACCGGGGCUUGAGGGCUGCUCGUCCGACCCGGAGGGUAGGUUGAUAGAGGCUUGUGGUGACACAGGUCCGAGAUAAAUGACAACAUAAAACAGAACCCGGCUUACGGGUUUUCCU
Molecule: RNase P RNA, 324 nt
Filed under: bovine gut metagenome
Description: Bacterial RNase P class A
Rfam family: Bacterial RNase P class A
About the family: Ribonuclease P (RNase P) is a ubiquitous endoribonuclease, found in archaea, bacteria and eukarya as well as chloroplasts and mitochondria.
Source: RNAcentral